UUUUCUCUUUUACGUUUCACUCUCUUGCCUGAGGUGGUCUUCGAUCAGUGCUGAAAUCGAUAGUAUUAUCUAUGCAGAUCUUUUCUACUUGUUGUGCUCGAAAACACGAGGGUGACACUAGGCUAAAAUAAGAAGCUUAAAUGACUUGGCUGGCAAGUGACAACUAUAUGAAAAUGGCCAUUCAGAGUUAGGUCUUUGAGUGCACUGCCACUAUAUUAUAACUGAUGAGAAUGAAUGGGAUAUUUGUGGUAUUCCGAUGGAGGUAGCUGCUGCUGUGAAGAGGCAAAUCAUAAUUCUCAAAGAAGUACGUGGUAUGAUUAAGCUAGGUAGAGAGCUUGAUCCUGCUGUAAAGCAAAUCAAGCCAAGGAUAAAAAAAGAUUCGGAAUCAGAAAUAAUUAGUAAAAGAUACUCUCGCUCCUCGAAAACCACCCUUGCCUCUAUCUAAGAAAAUCAAGAAGAUUUCAGCUUCGCCUCAGGUCCUAAGAAUAACGCCAGUCCAGACUUUUAUCCAUCUAUCACAACCAACAACUAAACAUACAAAGAGCUCCGAAAAGGCUCCAACUUCACAGCUUUCACAGAAAAGGACCCACAACCAGAAUGUUGAAAGAUAAGGAUUCCGACCUCCAUCGGGCAGUCUAAAUCAUCCACAAGUACCAAGGAGCCUUCAAGAAUUAGAGAGACAAACUUAGGACAGGAAGAGCCUAUCCAUCAUAUUGUAUCGGAAGUAACAUGAGCUGCAUGAAUUUAUAUCACAAGGAACAGUCAAGCGUAGCCCUGUGUGACAGAUGAUUUUGCAAUGCAAAAUGUUAUUCUUCAAAUGGGUUUACGCCUUGUGGCCUCUGGAGGAAUGCAGAUUCAUGAGCUGCACAGAGAUUCCUUUUACAACAGAAAUUGGGGAAUGUCUUUCAAGUAUUAUAAAUAUUUGGCUGUAAGUACGGUCUGCUAUCUGCUUUCAAGUGUGGAGGUCUUCUUUCCUUUGCACAUAACAUACUCAUGUUCAAACAUCGUAGUAAACAAUGGUCCAUUAAUGUCAGAUAUAACAGAAAUUCUUUGAACUUUAUUUCAUCUUCUCAAACUAAAAUAGAGGUAUGCAACUAUUGCUGAUCAUAUAGAGUAUCUUUAUUUAGCUGUGUCUUCCUUUUAUGUAUGAAUCUUUAUCUUUAAGUUGCAACUUUCUUGAAAUUUCAUUUUUUGAUUACUCUUCCGUUUGUAAUGAGUAUUUAUGCUAUAUCAGGGGACUUUUUUGUGUAUGAAUUAAGGAAGUUGGCUGGUUUUACCAAGUUUAUGUGUAGCUGUGUUUUAUCUUCCGUUCAUAUUUGAUCUUGGAAGACAUUAAGUUACAGUUCAUGUUGCAAGUCCUUUAAUUGAUUACCAUUUAGUUAUAUUAAUUAGUUAUAGUAGGGGAACUUAAUUUGGUGGGUAGGAUUCGAAGAAGAAACAUGAGUUCAACCAUGAAUGGAUUGCUGUUGAAGUACAAAGCAAAUGACAUGCACAUGAAAAAAUUACUAAAACAGAGCAAAGUAUCCUUCUAGCAUCCAUGUGAGUUUUUAUACACUUAUACUUGCAGUAAAGUCGUUAGGUGCCAUUAGUAAGAAGCUAAUGAAUUUCAAAUUCCCAACUCCAUAAGAAAGCAAAAUGUUCCAGCUCAUGCAAUUUUGAGUCCUGUUUUACAUCCUACAUCAACUGCAAAAAGUAUUACUCACUUGGCCUUGAAAUGAUGCAUACUAUUACUUGCAGUAAAGUCGUUAGGUGCCAUUAGUAAGAAGCUAAUGAAUUUCAAAUUCCCAACUCCCAUAAGAAAGCAAAAUGUUCCAGCUCAUGCAAUUUUGAGUCCUGUUUUACAUCCUACAUCAACUGCAAAAAAGUAUUACUCACUUGGCCUUGAAAUGAUGCAUACUAUUGGUCGUAUUUUUGUUUCCUGCUCUAUGGCCAGUCUUGCUCUCUUUUUUAACUUGUUAUAUAGAUUUAAGUUUGAUACUUCAAGAUAACGCAUGUGGAUAUUGAUCUGCAUGUGUGAUAAUGUUGCAAAUUAAGAUUUUGAAAGCUGUCAAUUUUAUAUAUGCGUGCCUCUGCAUGUGUGAAGAUAUUACAAAUUGAGAUUUUGAAAGCUGUCAGUUUUAUAUAUGUGAGCCUCCGCAUGUGUGAUGAUGUUAUAAAUUGAGAUUUUGAAAGCUGUCAGUUUUAUAUAUGUGCGACUAUCUAACUAUACUUCAAAAGGUGGACAAGCUGAGAGACUGCUUAUCCUAUGACUCAGAGAUAGGAAGCAAGUUAGUCAAUAACAACUCUAAUUAGUUGCAUCCAAGAAUAACCAGCGCCAUGGUCAGAAGGAGAAUUUGGGGUAAAGAAAUGACACAGCUCCAUACUUCUGAAAAUAUACAUUUGACUUUUUUUUUUUCCAAACUACAAUUAGAAAACAAACUGAAAGUUUGUAAAAGAUAUCAUUUUGAUACAGAAGCAUUCCUUGAAUGAGAAGGGCUAUUAAGUUCCAAAACGAGGGGGAAAAAAAAACUUGUGACAACGACUUGCUUGCUUAAGAGUAUGCUUAUUGCCCAAUUCGUAAUACCCUACACCAUUAAAGAAGUUAGACAUGAAAAUAUUGUAUGCUGGGAUUCGUAUAUGCUUCCAUUAGGUAUAGGAGGUUGAAGCUUUUCUUACACUACUAUUAUCUAGAUUUGCUUCGAUGAGUGAAGCUAUAUUUUAUUUGAGAGUAUGCUAAACCUAGGCUUCUCAUACUACCUCAUUUUUAAUGUCUACCUUCUGUUUUAAAUAAAUGAACCAGUUUCAUAUAUGUCUUCAUAUGAUUAAAAUAGGGAACUGUGAGGAAACAUGGUUGAGCCAUUUUCUCCUCAGGUGGCGAUGACUCGAUUGAACCAUUUUCUCCUCUUGCUGGUCAGAUCUAAUCUGUUGGUUCUAAUAAGUGGUUGGGUCUUUGAAUGACUCAUUCUAUCCUUUCUUUUUUGGUUUUUCUCACUGUGUCAUUUCCUCUUUCGUGUAAACAAGGGAGAUAGGGAGAAGGUGUAGAAGGAUGGAGAAAUGGUUAUGGCAAGGCUAAGCUUAAUUCAUUUGAUAUGAUCGAGAUUGUUUGGUUGACCAAUAAUCAGCUGUGACAUUACUGGUUUCUUGUCAAGUAAAAUGAGUGAUGAUAUGUUGAAAAAUCAGAACAUAAAAUGUGUUCUCUUGCAAGCACCAGAUCAACAUUAACUGUGAAGUCAUGCACACAAAAUGAGAAAAGGGGCAUGUGUAAUUUACUGUGGAAGUCAGUUUGCUAUGCGAUGUUGUGUAAUAUUUAUACAGUGUUAAAUUGUAGAGAAAAUUUGCACGGAAGCCAAGGGGGACACUACUUCGCCUGUACCAUUUGCUGCAUAGCUGAGAUAUUGUCAAGGUUCGAAAGGAAAAUUUUAUCUUAAGUACAAAGAGAUGCUAUUUUGUUCUCUUUUUUAA
Molecule: long non-coding RNA, 3441 nt
Organism: Lycium barbarum (goji berry)
Lineage: Eukaryota; Viridiplantae; Streptophyta; Magnoliopsida; Solanales; Solanaceae
Exons: 7
Source: RefSeq, a predicted model, not a curated record